CCGAAGUUCAACAGCUCAUAACUUACGAUCUAACCGUCUAAACAACUCUUAAUUUUACAUGGAGUAUUGAUAUAUCUUUAGCAACUACCACACCAAAAUUCAACCGUAAAUUCGUCUUGGAUCUUGUGAUAUCUUGAAAACCCUAACUGUAGCUUCAAACCCUAGCUUUUUUACACCCGUGUAUAACUUCCUUCAUAUCUCACAAAGUAAUAAUUCAAAUACUAUGAAACUUUGAUCUAAAGCUUCCUAAUCAAAUUGCACACACUUAUGGAAAUUUUGAGCCAAAAAUUCGUCCAGAAACUCAAGAUAUGGCUUCACCCAUAACUAGCAACAAAACUAUAUACUUACUGCCUUCAAAUUAUAAGUGCUGUCUUCAACGCCUCAUAACUCCUUCACCCAAUCUUAGAAUUCACUAUACAGUAAGUAGAAUGUGUAGCCGAGAAAAUGCUCCCUCCAAAUCUAGUCGCCGAUCUUCCGUUGCUCUCCGUAUUCGUAUGUGAUGCCCAAAAGAAGUGACAGUAGGUACGAAAUUGACACCUUAUCUUUGAACAUUCAUAUCUUUUCUAUAAAAACUCGAAAUC
Molecule: long non-coding RNA, 581 nt
Filed under: Physcomitrium patens
Lineage: Eukaryota; Viridiplantae; Streptophyta; Bryopsida; Funariales; Funariaceae
Description: long non-coding RNA (PPAT_LNC012096)
Source: RNAcentral